UAUGAGCAUCAAAUGAGAAGGUCCUA
This 26-nucleotide non-coding RNA is filed under the name Homo sapiens (human). The record is from RNAcentral. Lineage: Eukaryota; Metazoa; Chordata; Mammalia; Primates; Hominidae.